GACGUAGGGCGCGAGCGUUGUCCGGAUUUACUGGGCGUAAAGGGCUCGUAGGCGGCCAACUAAGUCGGAUGUGAAAUCCCCAGGCUUAACCUGGGAACUGCAUCCGAUACUGGAUGGCUUGAAUUCGGGAGAGGGAUGCAGAAUUCCAGGUGUAGCGGUGAAAUGCGUAGAUAUCUGGAGGAAUACCGGUGGCGAAGGCGGCAUCCUGGACCGACAUUGACGCUGAAAACCGAAAGCUAGGGGAGCAAACGGG
This 253-nucleotide ribosomal RNA is filed under the name uncultured bacterium. Its description in RNAcentral is "partial 16S ribosomal RNA". It matches the Rfam family "Bacterial small subunit ribosomal RNA", at positions 524 to 776 of the family's 1533-position model. The record is from RNAcentral.